Molecule: long non-coding RNA, 354 nt
Organism: Ornithorhynchus anatinus (platypus)
Lineage: Eukaryota; Metazoa; Chordata; Mammalia; Monotremata; Ornithorhynchidae
Exons: 3
Source: RefSeq, a predicted model, not a curated record
AAUGGAGUCCUGAUUCAUCAGCUUUUCCUCUCACACUUUUCCUCUCACCACGUCAGCGGCAGAACAGAAGGCUGGAGGUCACCUAGGAGGAGAGGAAAUUCCCACAGUUGUCUCCAUUCAAAGAUGCAGAAUCCACAAACAAAGGAAAUGAAUUUCCCUGUCUCCGAAAACAAAAACAAUUAUGAGACUGCAGCUCCCCCCAGGAGAACACCAGUCUCUGCAAACAAAUGAGACCCUCAGGGAAGACCCUAAAGCCGUGAGAAGAGACCUAAACUCUUCCUUUCAAAAAUUUAUUGUAACCAUUGUUGCGGACACUGUUGCGGAUCGCCUCAAGAUGGCGAUGGUGAAGCCAGC